Long non-coding RNA from Ailuropoda melanoleuca (giant panda), 5885 nucleotides. RefSeq lists it as uncharacterized. NCBI's taxonomy places the organism in Eukaryota, Metazoa, Chordata, Mammalia, Carnivora, Ursidae. The transcript is spliced from 4 exons. The record is from RefSeq and is a predicted model, not a curated record.
GCCGAAAUCAAGAGUCAGCUAUGUAACCGACUGAGCCACCCAGGCGCCAAUAAUAGAAGGGAAAGAACAGAAGGGACGGGAGGCAGCUUUUGGAGGCAAUGGGCACGGUACAUGACCCGGGCUGGGCCAGAGUUCUUCACCCCCCUCACCUCUGUGAUGGACCCACGGUGGCCGUUUAGGAGCUGCCAAAGCUGGAGCUACCUGCCUCCUCUGAUUGCACCGAGAUGGAAAUGGCAGGUCACCCGGAAAUAGACCGAUCGAGUAUUUCAUGCUUCCUCCGUCUCCUGUCAUCACAACAUUUGCCCUUUCUGGACCUCGCCUAUGAAUGGAGUCAUAUAUGUGGUUUUUCUUACCUGGCUUCUUUCACUUAGUCAGAUGUUUCCAAGGUUACCCAUACUGUGGCAUAUACGGAUGUUCAUUUCUCUUUCUUGCUGUGCAGCAUUCCAUGGUAUGGCUCUAGUAUUUUGUUGAUGCGUUCACCCAUUGAUGGGCCUUGGGAUUGUUUCCAUUUGGGGGCAAUUAUGAAUAAUGCUGCUGUGAAGGAUUGCAUACAAGUUUCCGUGCAGAGCAAUGGCUCUUUUGAUGAUGUUGAAUUCUUCUUCACUUCACCACAGAGAAACAGGCUCUUUCUUGGAAGAGUACAUAGGCCUUCGUGAACCUUGCUUUGAAUAAUGGAUAACAGCUUCAAACUCAUCUGCUACCCCAGAGAAGGCAAAAUUGUUAUAGGGGCUGUCAGAAGGUCUCAGUCCCUAUACAGAAGAUUUCCCCAUGUCUCUCUUAACAAGGUGGGAUAAGAACCAGGUAGGACCCAUUAGUUCCUCCCUGGAUUGAUAAACAUACGGAUGUCUGGAAAAAUCUCCUUUCUCACUGGAGUGGCUAUGCAGAGAAAAUGUAAAGUUGGCACCCACGAGGGUCCCUUGUCCUCUACGUGGAAGGAGCCUGUUGGCAAAAUCCAUUCAUUCAUUCAACAAUACUGUUGAAUGGCUUCCAUACGCAAGACACUGUUCCAGGUAUUAGGGAUACAGGUGUGGGAGAAACACACCAAAAAACUACAAAAAACCCUGAACUCAUAGAGCUCGCUUCUAGUUGGGGAGACAGACCAUUAAAAAAGAGGAAAAAUAGAAGAUAUGUCAUAUGGUGAUAUGUAUUAUGGAGAACAUUUAGCAGGGAAGGCAAACGAGUUCCUGGGAGAGGAGAGAGGUUGCUAUUUUGAAGAGGAAAGUUGGUGAAGGGAGAUCAGAUUGAAAAGGUGACAUUUGAGCAAAACCUAAAGGAGGUUGUAUUAUCUAAAUCUAUCUAAUGAAUUGCCGCAGACUUAGCUGCUUGAAAUAACAUAUAUUUCUUAGCUGGCUCCUCUGUUUCAGGGUCUCUCUCAAGUCUUUAAUAAGGGGUCAGCUGGGUGGGGGUCUCACCCGAAGGUGCAACCAGGGAAGGAUCCGCUUCCAAGCUCACAUGGUUGUCAGAAUUUUAACUACUCUAGAGCUAUUGGACUGGGGUCUCAAUUUCUAAUAGGGCACCCUCAUCUCCUUGCCACGUGGGUCUCUCCAACAUGGGAGCUUGGGUUAUGCAGAAAGAGUUGGCUACCAAGGCAGAAAUUACUGCCUUGCAUAACCUAAUCACAGAAGUGACAUCUCAUCACAUGUGAUAAGUUCUGCCCAUACUCAAUGGGAGGAGAUUAUACAAGGGCGUCCAUACCAGGAGGCAGAAUCAUUAUGGGCCAUCUAGUAUGCUGCCUGUUAUUCAGGUGAAAGAGUGAGCCAUGGGGGAGCUCAGAGGGAGGAGUGUAACAGGCAGAAGAAACAAGUGCAGAGGCCCUGAGGUGGGAUCUUGACUGGAGUGUUUAACAGCGAGGAGGCGGGUGUGGAGUGGAACGUGCAAGGGGUAGUGGAGUAGAGAUCGGGACAGCAAAGGAGGUAAUGGGGGGGCCAGGUUGUGUGGGACCUUUAUGACUUAAGUGAGAUGAGCCACUGGAGGGUUUCCAGCAGAGGAAUGGCAUGAGCUGGCAUUUGUUCUAGAUCCUCGAUCCCCCAGUUGUGGUCUGCGGAUCACCCUUAAAGCUUGUUAGAAACGCACAACCUUAAGGCCCAUGCCAGGCCUAGUGAACCAGAGACUGCAUUUAACAAGAUCCCCAGGCGAAUGGAAUGCACAGUGAAGUUGGAACCCCAGUGGUUCUCACCCUGCAGCCAGUAUCAGAAUCACCUGGAGCAUUUCUUGAAACACAGCUUGCGAUCCCCCUCCCACCCCCUAGAAGUUUCUGAUUCAGUAGGUGCAGGUUGAGGACGGAGAUUCCGCGUUUCUAGCAAGGACCCAGAGACGCUGAUGCUGCUGGUCCAGGGACUGCACUUUGAGAACCACUGGCUUACAGUGUGCCUGGUGCCAGGACGCAGGGAUGAGGAAGACGACGUCCUUCUCUUGAAGUUGUGCAGAGCAUCAGACCCUGCUCCUGGCCUCUGGGGGAGGAUGACCCAUCAGACCCAAAGCUCUUUCCUUGUCCUAAGUCCUAGGAAAGCAGAUUUUAUGCACUGCCCCUUAAAACCACAUCAGUUGUCACCCUGGUGCCCACCCUGGCUCUCUGUUCUAUUUGCAGCUAAAUCUCAUCUCUGUCUCUCCUACCUGUGCCAGAGAGAGGGAGCAGGUGGUCACCAGUGCCCUGCUAAAGCUCUUCAGAUGUUUGCAGCCCAUUAUUAAAUCGCCCUCAGAUUUUCCUUCUUGAAGACGAAAUAAUUAGCUACCCUUCUCUGAAUCAUGGGGUGGAGAGGGUUUGCUGACGGGAGCUACCAGCCUCAGACAGGGGCGUAUGUGGUAGAAAUUCUUUUUUUUUUUUUUAAAGAUUUUAUUUAUUUAUUCAACAGAGAUAGAGACAGCCAGCAAGAGAGGGAACACAAGCAGGGGGAGUGGGAGAGGAAGAAGCAGGCUCCCAGCGGAGGAGCCCGAUGUGGAGCUCGAUCCCAGAAUGCCAGGAUCACGCCCUGAGCCCAAGGCAGACGCUUAACCGCUGUGCCACCCAGGCGCCCUGUAUGUGGUAGAAAUUCUUGAACCCGUGUGGGGGCUGGAGGUGAGAUGGGGUGGGGGCUUCAGAAGCUAGACCAGGGGACUCCUCAUCUCAGCAAGAUCCUUAGAAGUGAUGCCAGCAGACAGCAGGCAAGAUGACACGUCUGGCGUGAUGCAGAGAUCAGCUGGAGGUGAAGGGUCACCAGUGAGUCAAAUAUCUUCAGGGGUUAUGGGCACCAUCAGACACACCCCUGUCCCAGGGCCAUCUCCCAGCUGACUCAUUCCAGCCAACAGAUCGGCCCCAUUGGUGCCGAUCCUCAUAAGAAGGAAGUGUGUGAACAUCACAAAGAUGGUGUCCUGGCUUGGCAAGGUCAAGGUCAGACUUUGGACCACCUGCGUCUGCCAUCUCCUGAGAGGCUUGUUAGGAAAUGCAGACCUCCAGACCCCACCCCUACACUUACUGCAUCAGAGUCUCUGGAGGAGGAGUCUGAGAAUCGGGAUUUUAACAAAGCACUUAGUACGGUGAUUAGUAAUAAAAGCAACUUCGUGUGCUAUGUUUCCAUUCUGAAAAUAAAAAAUAGUCAUAACGAGCACCGUGCCAAGGGAUGAAUAUAGAUUGGCCUGUGGAAUCCUCACCUCCAUGAAAUGGGGACUGCUAGCAUCCCAUUCAAUGAAGAGGGAACUGAGGCACAGAGAGAUAGGUCUGAAGUCACACAUCUGCUAAGUGGCAGGCAGCACGACUUAGACCCAGGCCUGGCUGAUCCCAGAGGCCAGGAUUUUAACCUCUACUUUGUCCCUUCCUCCUCCCUAACACAACAUUCCCUUGCAAACUAUAAAAUAGAGUAAGGGGCGCCAUAGCCCCAGAUUCAAUGUCUGUUGUGGGAGAAAGAAACAGAUAACCACUAAUUGUGAACAUACACUAGUGUUUCACAUGCGUUUUUCUCACUUUCUUGACUUUACACCAGCCCUCAGAGGGGAGUAUCAUACCCAUUCUGCUGGUGAGGAACACUGAGGCUCACGGGGACAAAGCGGCCUGCCUGAGGCCACGCAGCUCUUUAUGUAGGCCAGUCUGGACUGGAAUCCAGAUCUCUUGCUAUCAUCAAGCCACACUGCCCUUGGUGAAGAUGGGGAAGAAGGGGGUCCAAUUCCUAUGUGGGGUUACUUGGUCACGUCCGCCUUGGGGAACACACCAGGUCGCUGCUUUGCCUCUUGCCAGACCAGCUGUUUAAUUAGCCCAGAGCCUUCUCGCUUCCCCAGAGUUCAGAAACACUGCUCAGGGUAUGGGCACAGCUAAAACAGGAUCGGAAUGGCAUGUUCGGGAAGCUGUAUGAUUAAAACUGACUUAGAAGAUGAGUGCUGCCAGCCUGUUUGGCAGAAAUAGAAAGUCACCUAACCAGAACGCGUGUUGCCCACAUGGUUGCCAGAGACUGCUUUUUGCUGUUCUAGUGCUUUUGAAUUAUAACUGAUAUCCUGAGAUCUGUGGUUUGCACUGCCUCUCCUAACUACCUUCUUAAGGAUCCUGAAAAGAAAACCAUUAUUAUAUGUCUGCCCUCUGGGGUUGGAGGGGAGAAGGUGAGGAGCCAGGUUCCUUUUAGAAGCUGUGUACUGUGGUGAGCCCAGAAGUGUCCCCAGGAGACGACUGAAGACUUAUCUCAUGAUCAACUCUAAGCACCGUUCUGCCUUAGGGGGGUCUGAAUCCUGGAACCAACUCAUCUGCCCAUCGGACACCUCCCUACCACCCCUGGCCAUGUCCCAUAGCCACGCCAUUAUGGGCGUGUCAUUUUGUCUCCCAGAAUGUCUUUCCUAGAGAACCCCAUCGUCCCCCUCUCUGCGUGGUCUUCAUGGGACAGUGGCUCAUGAUCUCUGCUCACCUGGUCUGGGUGGACUCAAGCAGGGUGCUGCCCCCUCUGGACACAGUGCUUGGUCCAGAGGUGGGCACUUAACCCAAACAGGACCAAUUCGAAUUUUUUCCUUAAGAUUUCAUAAAAAGUCUCUCUUACUUCUGGAGCAUAAACUAUUAAAACAGAAACUCAAGUCCACUACUGCCCAUGUUUCUGCCUCGUGAAGCAAACCUACUCCAGGAGAAAAAAAAUCCAAUGUUCAGAGAAAAGCUGUGGCGAGGUGAGAUAUGGGGAGAGUAAGGCCUUGUGACUUCUUUUGCAUCUCUAAAUCCAGCCACGGCUGUAGGAUUUGCCCUUGGACUUCCCAGGUAAUGAGCCCGUACAUUCUUUUUAGCUCGAUCCGGAUGGAAUGGAGUUUCUUCCAGGAACCCUCCAUAAUACGCAUCUGAGAUUCAACAUAUCCAAAUAGAAAACCCCGACUUCUCCCUCCAGCAAACCUGCCUUCCUCCAGCCUCCCCUGCCUUCCACAACCUCCCUCACUGCUCAUUCAGUGCCAGCCAUUGAUUCACUGCCAUGAGCAUAGUUCAGGCUCAAAGCAUUUCACACUUGGAUUGAUGCAACGUCCUCCCUGCCUCCAGGCUUGUCUACUCCAAGUCCACAGACAGACAGACAGACAGACACACACACACACACACACACACACACACACCCCUGAGAAAAUCCUUCUGGGCCUGAACCUUCCCGCUCUUCUGUGGAGUAACUCACCCGGCUGCAAGGCAUUUGGCCUCUCCCAUGUGUUGAACUUCACCUGACGCCAUCCUCCCCUCUCUCCAGCCAGAGAAUUACUUGUCAGUUCCUACUCUCACUCCUAAGCUAAUGCACACAUUACCUGCAGGGGUUCCUAAUCCUUUCUGUGCCAUGGACCCCGUGCUAGUCUGCUGCAGCCUAUAGAUCCCAUCUCAGAAUAAUGUCUUUAAAUCAUAGAGUGGAAUACAUAAGAUUAUAAUGAAAUGAUAGUUCUAUUGGUAUAUACUUAUCAAAAUAUUAAAACUA